This 273-nucleotide ribosomal RNA is filed under the name Triticum aestivum (bread wheat). Its description in RNAcentral is "partial small subunit ribosomal RNA". The record is from RNAcentral. Lineage: Eukaryota; Viridiplantae; Streptophyta; Magnoliopsida; Poales; Poaceae.
AUGGACUAUGAUAGCCACAUGCAGAUUCAUCCUGGUGUCGGCGUUGAAGAUGCAAAUGCAGAGGAUUUAUCAGCAUGUGUCGAGGAUGAAGGAAAGAUGCCAGCAAAAGACAAGAAGCUUAGAGGUUCACAGGAGGGUUUGGAUAAAAGAAGGAAGGAUGCCUCAGCAAGGAGAUUGUCAGCGUCCAAAGGCCCACUAACUGAUGCGCAGAAACGUGCACAAAACCUACGCGCCUAUAAAGCGGGCCUACAAAAGGAAAAGAAGGAGCUGUGA